GGGACACGUGGUAUCCUGUCUGAAUAUGGGGGGACCAUCCUCCAAGGCUAAAUACUCCUGACUGACCGAUAGUGAACCAGUACCGUGAGGGAAAGGCGAAAAGAACCCCGGCGAGGGGAGUGAAAAAGAACCUGAAACCGUGUACGUACAAGCAGUGGGAGCACGCUUAGGCGUGUGACUGCGUACCUUUUGUAUAAUGGGUCAGCGACUUAUAUUCUGUAGCAAGGUUAACCGAAUAGGGGAGCCGAAGGGAAACCGAGUCUUAACUGGGCGUUAAGUUGCAGGGUAUAGACCCGAAACCCGGUGAUCUAGCCAUGGGCAGGUUGAAGGUUGGGUAACACUAACUGGAGGACCGAACCGACUAAUGUUGAAAAAUUAGCGGAUGACUUGUGGCUGGGGGUGAAAGGCCAAUCAAACCGGGAGAUAGCUGGUUCUCCCCGAAAGCUAUUUAGGUAGCGCCUCGUGAAUUCAUCUCCGGGGGUAGAGCACUGUUUCGGCAAGGGGGUCAUCCCGACUUACCAACCCGAUGCAAACUGCGAAUACCGGAGAAUGUUAUCACGGGAGACACACGGCGGGUGCUAACGUCCGUCGUGAAGAGGGAAACAACCCAGACCGCCAGCUAAGGUCCCAAAGUCAUGGUUAAGUGGGAAACGAUGUGGGAAGGCCCAGACAGCCAGGAUGUUGGCUUAGAAGCAGCCAUCAUUUAAAGAAAGCGUAAUAGCUCACUGGUCGAGUCGGCCUGCGCGGAAGAUGUAACGGGGCUAAACCAUGCACCGAAGCUGCGGCAGCGACGCUUAUGCGUUGUUGGGUAGGGGAGCGUUCUGUAAGCCUGCGAAGGUGUGCUGUGAGGCAUGCUGGAGGUAUCAGAAGUGCGAAUGCUGACAUAAGUAACGAUAAAGCGGGUGAAAAGCCCGCUCGCCGGAAGACCAAGGGUUCCUGUCCAACGUUAAUCGGGGCAGGGUGAGUCGACCCCUAAGGCGAGGCCGAAAGGCGUAGUCGAUGGGAAACAGGUUAAUAUUCCUGUACUUGGUGUUACUGCGAAGGGGGGACGGAGAAGGCUAUGUUGGCCGGGCGACGGUUGUCCCGGUUUAAGCGUGUAGGCUGGUUUUCCAGGCAAAUCCGGAAAAUCAAGGCUGAGGCGUGAUGACGAGGCACUACGGUGCUGAAGCAACAAAUGCCCUGCUUCCAGGAAAAGCCUCUAAGCAUCAGGUAACAUCAAAUCGUACCCCAAACCGACACAGGUGGUCAGGUAGAGAAUACCAAGGCGCUUGAGAGAACUCGGGUGAAGGAACUAGGCAAAAUGGUGCCGUAACUUCGGGAGAAGGCACGCUGAUAUGUAGGUGAAGUCCCUCGCGGAUGGAGCUGAAAUCAGUCGAAGAUACCAGCUGGCUGCAACUGUUUAUUAAAAACACAGCACUGUGCAAACACGAAAGUGGACGUAUACGGUGUGACGCCUGCCCGGUGCCGGA
RNAcentral lists this ribosomal RNA (1469 nucleotides) under Escherichia coli. RNAcentral describes it as "partial 23S ribosomal RNA". It matches the Rfam family "Bacterial large subunit ribosomal RNA", at positions 419 to 1873 of the family's 2925-position model. Lineage: Bacteria; Pseudomonadati; Pseudomonadota; Gammaproteobacteria; Enterobacterales; Enterobacteriaceae. The record is from RNAcentral.